CCUACGGGCGGCAGCAGUGAGGAAUAUUGGUCAAUGGACGAGAGUCUGAACCAGCCAAGUAGCGUGAAGGAUGACUGCCCUAUGGGUUGUAAACUUCUUUUAUAUGGGAAUAAAAUGUUCCACGUGUGGGAUUUUGUAUGUACCAUAUGAAUAAGGAUCGGCUAACUCCGUGCCAGCAGCCGCGGUAAUACGGAGGAUCCGAGCGUUAUCCGGAUUUAUUGGGUUUAAAGGGAGCGUAGGUGGAUUGUUAAGUCAGUUGUGAAAGUUUGCGGCUCAACCGUAAAAUUGCAGUUGAAACUGGCAGUCUUGAGUACAGUAGAGGUGGGCGGAAUUCGUGGUGUAGCGGUGAAAUGCUUAGAUAUCACGAAGAACUCCGAUUGCGAAGGCAGUUCACUGGACUGCAGCUGACACUGAGGCUCGAAAGUGUGGGUAUCAAACAGGAUUAGAUACCCGGGUAGUC
RNAcentral lists this ribosomal RNA (460 nucleotides) under uncultured bacterium. RNAcentral's name for it is "partial 16S ribosomal RNA". It matches the Rfam family "Bacterial small subunit ribosomal RNA", at positions 338 to 795 of the family's 1533-position model. The record is from RNAcentral.